RNAcentral lists this ribosomal RNA (468 nucleotides) under uncultured bacterium. RNAcentral's name for it is "partial 16S ribosomal RNA". It matches the Rfam family "Bacterial small subunit ribosomal RNA", at positions 28 to 507 of the family's 1533-position model. The record is from RNAcentral.
GACGAACGCUGGCGGCGUGCUUAACACAUGCAAGUCGAACGGUGAUGCUCCAGCUUGCUGGAGUGGAUCAGUGGCGAACGGGUGAGUAACACGUGAGCAACCUGCCCCAGACUCUGGAAUAAGCGCUGGAAACGGCGUCUAAUACUGGAUACGAAACUGGCCCGCAUGGGCAUGGUUUGGAAAGUUUUUCGGUUUGGGAUGGGCUCGCGGCCUAUCAGCUUGUUGGUGAGGUAAUGGCUCACCAAGGCGACGACGGGUAGCCGGCCUGAGAGGGCGACCGGCCACACUGGGACUGAGACACGGCCCAGACUCCUACGGGAGGCAGCAGUGGGGAAUAUUGCACAAUGGGCGAAAGCCUGAUGCAGCGACGCCGCGUGAGGGAUGACGGCCUUCGGGUUGUAAACCUCUUUCAGCAGGGAAGAAGCGAGAGUGACGGUACCUGCAGAAGAAGCACCGGCUAACUACGUG